RNAcentral lists this ribosomal RNA (229 nucleotides) under uncultured Actinomycetales bacterium. Its description in RNAcentral is "partial 16S ribosomal RNA". It matches the Rfam family "Bacterial small subunit ribosomal RNA", at positions 104 to 334 of the family's 1533-position model. Lineage: Bacteria; Bacillati; Actinomycetota; Actinomycetes; Actinomycetales. The record is from RNAcentral.
GGGUGAGUAACACGUGAGUAACCUGCCCUUGACUUUGGGAUAACUUCAGGAAACUGGGGCUAAUACCGGAUAGGAGCUCCUGCUGCAUGGUGGGGGUUGGAAAGUUUCGGCGGUUGGGGAUGGACUCGCGGCUUAUCAGCUUGUUGGUGGGGUAGUGGCUUACCAAGGCUUUGACGGGUAGCCGGCCUGAGAGGGUGACCGGCCACAUUGGGACUGAGAUACGGCCCAG